Molecule: ribosomal RNA, 301 nt
Filed under: uncultured bacterium
Lineage: Bacteria
Description: partial 16S ribosomal RNA
Rfam family: Bacterial small subunit ribosomal RNA
Source: RNAcentral
CAGCAGCCGCGGGAAUACGAAGGGUGCAAGCGUUAAUCGGAAUUACUGGGCGUAAAGCGUGCGUAGGCGGUUUGUUAAGUCUGCUGUGAAAUCCCCGGGCUCAACCUGGGAAUGGCAGUGGAUACUGGCAAGCUAGAGUGUGUCAGAGGAUGGUGGAAUUCCCGGUGUAGCGGUGAAAUGCGUAGAGAUCGGGAGGAACAUCAGUGGCGAAGGCGGCCAUCUGGGACAACACUGACGCUGAGGCACGAAAGCGUGGGGAGCAAACAGGAUUAGAUACCCCAGUAGUCCCUGUCUCUUAUAA